AAACACAACAAAACGAAAUUCCCCAAAAAAACAUUGUUUAUUUAGAAUUAAUUAAAUAUUUCAUUUGCAUUUUUAAAGGGGUCAUGAACUGCCUUUUUUGGUACUGUUCUCUAAGGUACACUUAAAAUGUUAUCAAGAUUUUUACAUCAAAAAACAUAAUUUAGAAUGGGCUUUUUAAUGUCCUGUUUUUACCCCUCAUCAAUUAGUUUUUAAACUAACAAGAAAGUGCUUACAUGAUAUUUUUAUAGUGCAAUGACCUCUAAUAUGUCAAAAGAUCAAGGGAAUUUUGUUUUCUAGUUCAUGACCCCUUUAAAAACAGGGGUGAAUUCAAAUAAACCGGGCGUCACUUGACAUUGAUUUACUAGAUUUACCAUAAUAGUCCUGCAUAUCAGUAAAUUCAAUGACUCCCCCGCACACGCACACAGGCACAUUUUCCCAAAAUCUAACAUACUUGGCAAAAACAGUGCAUGGGGAAUUCCUGCUUUGGUUUUCUCAAUACAAACAUUUACUGUAGCCUAUCUAUUAAACCUUAAAAAAAAAAAAAAGUAGAAGUAGAAGUACAGUAAGACACGUAGGCCAAUAUGAUUUAACUUCUGGUGCUGUUUAGUCAUGCAUGACAUCACAGUGUUUACAGACGAUGACGUCACUUGUUUAAAAUUGCUAGUCCUGUUGCUAAAGACAGUCUGGCUGAGAACGAAAGGAAAUCAAAACACCUCCCUUCUACGUACGUUCAUCCGAUCCGCCUUCACCAACUAGACUAUAUAAGACUCCUCAGCAUGAAUCACCGGCACUUUACUACCAACCACUUUAAGAGUUCGCAACAAGAGAGAAGCAAACAAACGACAGGACAACAUGUUUCCAGAGACGGAGUGCGGAAUCUGCUACAGAACUUACAACCUCGGUCAGCGGUGUCCUCGACAGCUGUGCUGCAAACACACGUUUUGCGAGAGCUGCCUGGUGAUGCUCUGGCGCUCCGCGGAGAGCCCUGAACCCCGGAUAAUGUGUCCGCUGUGCCGUCACUCCACGCCGCUGUCGGAGGCGAGGAUCCAAGAGACCCUGCCGGUAGACGAGGACGUUUUUGAGCGGCUUGUCACCGAGGGCUGCGCGGAGGAAUGUGCGGAUGACGACGAAGACACCGAGGAGCCCAAACGGGACACGGUCACCCCACCAAAAGAAGAAGUAUCACCCCCGCCAAGAUCGCGAAAAAGACGCCUGAUGAAACGUUUGAGUCGCCUGUGCCAGAAAUUCACCGGGGAUGCACGGAGAAACUGUAUGACUGAUGAAGACUUGAGGGACCUGGCAAUGAUGUCUUGCUACAUGAUGUGAAAGACAAGAUUUCCAGAAGUGUCACUCAGAUCAUCUGAACGCCAAAAGAUGUAACCACGCGUGAUUUAAGGGAGCAGAUGUAAUCAUUUAAGAAUCAUCUACUGAAAAACAGACGAACGGAACAUUUGGGUGGGUGUGUCCCCUCCAGUGUUUGAGGGUGUCCCGGCCCUGCCUCGAGGUUAUGGAUGGCAGUCCACAAUGGAAACCUUUGGAUAACAUUGAUGUGUUUUUGUGCUGAAGCUGUGGAAAGUCAGCGCCUGGGAAGCACAAGAGGACUGUUUGCUGUUGGGCGUGACUCGUUGCCAUAACAAAAACGUAGGGUUGUUCCAGAGAAACCUAUAAACAACACAACAAAAACAUGUCUUUUGAUUUCCCCUUCUUUUCUUUUUUUUAUGAACCACACUGCCUUACAGAUUAUUUGUUUUAGGCCAGUAUAUUUUUGGUGCUGUUUCUUUUCUGUUACAAAAUCAUGGAGAAUACUCAACCCAUAUCUCCUUUUUAAAUUAUUGUAACUUAAUGAUUUUGAAGAAUUUCUAUGAAAUAUUACUUGUAUUUAUUGUCUAUUAAGUUUAAUUAUAAGUUUUUCAGUGUUACGUUUGUAUCAAAUGAAAGAGACCUAAUUGUAUUUGUCUUUUCAUGAUCACAAAGUAAUUUUAUAUGUAUUUAUAAGUAUUUUACUUUUUUUAAGAAGAAAAUAUAGAAUGACUGUAUGCUAUGUUUGUACCAAAUAAAUGUUUUUAUAAUUUUUAUGACAAGUUUAGCACACUCUCUUUUUUUUUUUUUUUUUUUACUCCGAGGCAGAGUCACAAAUUUUCAUCAUACUUUAAGAACACAUUAAGUAUUUAAGAUUGUGUAUGUGCAAAGUUUUAUGUUCUUAGCUUUGAACACAUUCAGGUGAACCUCGUCAGCGAUCACCAUCAUGCUGAUCAACAAUAUUAGCGGUUCAGUGAGCCCAAAUUAAUAGGGUAAUUUGGACCAGGUGUAACAAAAAGCAUUGUGUGGAACGUAAGCACAAGUGCAUUAGUCCUUAAAACAUGUCUCUUCAAUACUAUCUGAGACUGGCUCUGGUUGGUUUGGCUCUUUCUGUUGUGGGAUGUUUGCCUGAAGUAUCAAUAGGAGAUGUCACGGAUGAUUCAAAGAUCAAAAUACAAGCUCUGGAAAGUUUCAAAAGUGUUAAUCCACCCAUUCAAAAUCCAAUAAGAGGCAGUCUUCAAAGCAACAGAGAACAGUUUAACAGCAAAUAUCAGCUGCCGUGGAUCAGCUCUGCCUCAUACAACCAGAGAAAUGAUGUCAACUCAGUCUAUUCAGUCCCACAUAAAGUCCAGUCCAAUAUCAGAAAUAAACCUGUUGAAUUAUCAAGCGCCAAAUUUAAUGAUGAAAUUGAUGCCAAAAGAAGCUAUGCUUCCCAAACAGUCCAGCAGGAACAAAAUACUUUAGACGUUAAAGGGAGCCAAAUUAGCUCUAGUAAUAUUAAUUUGGCCCCAAGGCUGGUGAGGAAAAAAGGUGGAAUGCAUGCAGCAUAUGUGCAUAGAUCAGGCUCAUUUGGACAUCAACAUAUUUCUAAAUCAGAAAUGCACUCAGGCAGUUCACAACCAUUAGGACUCAAUGAACCUUAUUUGAAGGAAAAUAUUCCAACUAAUUAUAUGCCUAGAAGCUCAACAGUGAACCACAAUAUGAGGCACAAAAGUAAUGGAAACAUGCUGAUGGAAAAUUUUCUUCAAAACAAUGGCCAGAAUCAAAACAUGCUGAGGAGAGUUGUACCAUCAAAUACAUCUCCCUCAAUUGUAACAGCAAAUCAGCAAAAGAGCCAACCAUUGCCACAAGCUUUUUCUGCUGGGACUGGAAUCAUUUCUCAAAUUUCCUACGAGAAUAUGAGGGACGUAGCUCUUUCAAAGGUGUUCAAAACGCCAAUCCCAACACCAAUAUCACCUGCAUUUAAGAGAUCAAAUUCAAAUGGAGGUCCUAGCAUCCUUCCAUUAAUAAAAUCUCAGAUGUUUUCUUCUCAGCAGGAUCACAUCAAGCUGUCUAAUUCUGAAAGGGUUGCCAAUCCAAAAGCAAAUCUGCAAAGCAGUUUUGAAUUUGGAAAUACAAAUAGCUACAUGCUCGAGAACAUUCAGUCGACACAAAAUGGUUACCAAAAUGGGGGACAAAGUAGUCAGAAUGUUGUGCCCAUUCAAACCUUUCACAAUCAAAAGAAGUAUGAUAAUCUGGCUACAGGUAUAUCUGCCAUCAGGCCUUCAGUCACCAAUAAUGCCCACUCUUACUUCCUAUCAGAUGAAAACAGUGGCAUCCAGAUGUCUGCACUACUCAAACGGUCAAAAGAAAUCACUGACUUGACCCCACGAAUGCAGUUUGGAAAGAACAAAAUGUUAUUUUCAGAACGUGAUACAAAUAUUUAUCUACCAGACCUAACAAAUCAUUCAUUGAGGAAGCCAAGUCAGCAUAAUGCGCAAAAUAGGUCACAUCUGAAUUCCUUCGGCCAAAGUACUGUACAAUCGUUAUCCAUUAAACAUUAUCCUGCGCCAAGUCUUGUGCCAGGUAACACAUUGAAGAGUCAUGUCCACGGCUUUAGUCCAUCUGUGGCUGGGACUCAGGGCGCAUCUAAAAAUUCAGGUACGUCUAGUAGCCGACCAUAUUAUCUAACUUUUAAAAAGCCAUAUGCUUUUAAAGGUUUCACAUUUGUCCCUACAUUGCAGACAUCGCUACAAAAAUCAGAAAUGCACUCUGGCCAAAAGCCCCUCUUAAAGUCUUUAUCUAAUGUGCAAUAUGCCCCUGCUCGUUCACAUACCGCCCAAAGUGCACUCGCUCAAAAACCCUUGAUGCAUAAGAGCUACAAAAAAAUGCUUUUCCAGUUCAAGGACAUUGAAUCAAGCCAAGAAAAACAACUUUAUUGGGAUCAGACAGAUUCUUUUGAUAAUGGACCUAAACGUGAAACCAUCUCUUCUACUGAAGGUGCAAGUAACCUGAUGUCUGAUGCUCUAAAGCACCAUGCUGUUAGAGGUCAAGCUGUAGCAAUGAAAACAUCUCUCAGUGGCACAAAUACUACAAAUAAUGUAGCUGUUGACGAAGUUCAGUCAAAAACAUCUCAGAGGUGGACUUCAAGUAGGCUUACUUCAGCACAGCCCUCUAAAUCUAACAAAGAUGAAUUCCCAACAGGCAGUUUUGUUAGAUCCAACUUAAACAAAGCAUCCAUAAAAUCUAGCAACAGUCAUAACAGUCCCACAUCAGAGCUUAUUCUUCCAAUUCAUAAGUCUUCUCUUAUGAACAAAGUGACUGGGUAUCCUCGAAUACACAAUGCUGCUAUCCAGCCACUUCGCAGGUAUGUUUUGAAGGAACAUGAAGGUGUGUUAAAUCCAACAAAGGAAAUUAAAGAUAGAAAUUCUACUGGAAUAACACAGUCAAAUACUACUGAAAAUUAUAGCCCCAUUAGACUGAGACCGACCAGCAGCUUUGCGAUUGGAAGGCAAGUUAAAGACAAUUCAGACCACCAGAACAUCUAUGCUAUCUCAACCUCUCAAUCUGCAAUUUAUAGAUCUGCUGGCAUUAAUAGUCAAAAAACGGAUGGCUCUACAAAGCUCACUUUCCAGUCACCUAUGCACAGAUCUGCUAUGAAACCUUCUGGCAAAGUUAACAUCCUAAAAGCUAAUGCAGCUUCAGACUGGAGGAACGAAACGUCUCCAAUCUCAGAAGCAGAUAUCAACCUUAGUGCCGUCAGUGUGUCCCAGGCUUUAAGACCCACAACCAAACCCAACCUUAACAUGUCUAUGACAAAAUCAGGCCUAAACAAUUAUAAACCAGUUCAGAUUUCCUAUAUAGCAGGUAGCACCUCCUUCACCGAUGUCAAACCACAUUCUGCUAACACCAAGGCGAAGGAAGAAGUGGAUCUCGAAAGUGAUCAAAACAGCAGUAAUUCAACAUCAGUGAUGGAGGAAAGUUUUAAAGAGCUGGUUUUAGACAGUUCCUCUAUGAUCUCAGCCUUACAAAAUGAAAUGGAUGAAAGUGCAAUGGAUUUACGCGUCCCUGAGCUUAUGCCAACAGCUGCUUAUGAGUCACAGCUGGAGCCUGGGAAUCAUACCACACCUACAGCAGAGGAUAUUGAUCCAUUUUAUGAGGGGACAUUGAUACCCAAUACCACUUUGCAGGACGAAAUGACCUCAAGUUGAGAUCUGCCCGCAUGCAAUCCAAUGGCAGCCGUCCUUAACUGCAAUGUGAGGUGAUUUUCUCUUCUGUAGGUAGAUGGCGCCAGAUCUAUCCUCACAUUAAUUUGCAUUAAAUUUCUGAGUUCUGAGUUUCAUAGUUUGUUCUUUACUUCCCGCUGAUAGUCAUGAUUUUGGAAGAAAAAAUGUGGAUGAUAUUAACCAUUUUUUCCCCAAGCAAUAUAUUCAGAUGUCUUAUAUCAAACCGAAUUUGAAAACAGUAAACCUUGCAUCCAAAUAUAACUUUCUGUUAUUGAAUAUAAAUCAUGAAAUUAGUUUACUGAUGUGAGGAUGGGUUCAGACAUGUGAGCACACUUUGUUUCCAUGCCAAUAAUUUUUUCUCUCUCGAUAUUAUAGUCUCCAAAGUCCAUGGAUUUGAAUUGAGUUUUCUUGAAGUAUCACUGACAAACUGUGAUUUUAAUUAUUCAGGCCAAGCUAUUUAAAACUUAAUCACUUAAUUAUUAUUAUGAGCAGACAUUUUAACGAGGCAAGAGGUCUUUCUUUAGGUCAUUCCUGUUGUGCAGUAACUUUUCAACUCUGGAACUUUUAAGAUAAUUAAUAAUGUGUUGUAAAUUAAGCAAGUAUUUCUAUAAAAGUGAAUACCAGACUUUAAGAAAUAAGCUCUGGUUAAAAUCAGGGACUUAAGCAUUAUUUAUUAUAAUUUGACUAUUUACACAGUGCCAAGAAAAAGAACAGGACUGAAAUAAGGACCACCUUAACAAUACCCAAGAGUAAGUUUAACUGACAAUGUCAACUUGGUUAACUGUGAUAUAAAACAGAAUCAAUCAGAAUUUAUUGCUAAAAUGUACUUACAUGUGUGCUGUUGUUUCCCCACCAAAACAAUUUCACUUCCUUUGGUUUGAUGUCAUUGAGAUGUCACUUGAGACUGGUCUUUUUUGUUUAAAGAGAAAUUAAGUACAUGGGUAAAUAGGCUAUAUUCCCGUGUGAACAUGUUUUGUUGAAACAUUAAAGAAUAAACAAACUGCAACAUCUGCUCCAAGUGGAAAUAUUUAAAAUUCACUACCCCAUUCACUUAAUUGUGAUAUUGUGAUAAAAGACAAUUUAAUAAUGAUAAUAAUCUUUAUUUUCUAUAGCGCCUUUAAAUGUUACUUCUCAAAGCGCUUUACAUAACAAAUAAAUCAUCAACAUACACCAUAUAAAAAUGUAUGAAAAUAAGCAAACAAAAACAAGGAAACAUGCAUUCAAAACAAUUAAAUAGAAAUAAUAUAAAAUUAAUAUAAAAAUUCAAGUAAAAGCUAUCCCAAAUAAAUAAAUUUUAAGCUGAGAUUUAAAAAUGUUAAGAGAAUGUGCCUGCCUUUUUUCAACAGGAAGGGUAGUUUUUGAGCUAGAGAAGAAAA
Molecule: long non-coding RNA, 6880 nt
Organism: Cyprinus carpio carpio
Lineage: Eukaryota; Metazoa; Chordata; Actinopteri; Cypriniformes; Cyprinidae
Source: Ensembl